This 300-nucleotide ribosomal RNA is filed under the name uncultured Ramlibacter sp. Its description in RNAcentral is "bacterial SSU rRNA". It matches the Rfam family "Bacterial small subunit ribosomal RNA", at positions 114 to 416 of the family's 1533-position model. Lineage: Bacteria; Pseudomonadati; Pseudomonadota; Betaproteobacteria; Burkholderiales; Comamonadaceae. The record is from RNAcentral.
UACAUCGGAACGUGCCCAGUCGUGGGGAGUAACGUAGCGAAAACUACGCUAAUACCGCAUACGAUCUACGGAUGAAAGCGGGGGAGUCGCAAGACCUCGCGCGAUUGGAGCGGCCGAUGGCAGAUUAGGUAGUUGGUGAGGUAAAGGCUCACCAAGCCGACGAUCUGUAGCUGGUCUGAGAGGACGACCAGCCACACUGGGACUGAGACACGGCCCAGACUCCUACGGGAGGCAGCAGUGGGGAAUUUUGGACAAUGGGCGCAAGCCUGAUCCAGCCAUUCCGCGUGCAGGAUGAAGGCC